Molecule: ribosomal RNA, 465 nt
Filed under: uncultured bacterium
Lineage: Bacteria
Description: partial 16S ribosomal RNA
Rfam family: Bacterial small subunit ribosomal RNA
Source: RNAcentral
GAUGAACGCUGGCGGCGUGCUUAACACAUGCAAGUCGAACGGUGAAGGCGGAGCUUGCUCUGCUGGAUCAGUGGCGAACGGGUGAGUAACACGUGAGCAAUCUGCCCCUGACUCUGGGAUAAGCGCUGGAAACGGCGUCUAAUACUGGAUACGAGCUGCGAAGGCAUCUUCAGCAGCUGGAAAGAACUUCGGUCAGGGAUGAGCUCGCGGCCUAUCAGCUUGUUGGUGAGGUAACGGCUCACCAAGGCGUCGACGGGUAGCCGGCCUGAGAGGGUGACCGGCCACACUGGGACUGGGACACGGCCCAGACUCCUACGGGAGGCAGCAGUGGGGAAUAUUGCACAAUGGGCGAAAGCCUGAUGCAGCAACGCCGCGUGAGGGACGACGGCCUUCGGGUUGUAAACCUCUUUUAGCAGGGAAGAAGCGAAAGUGACGGUACCUGCAGAAAAAGCGCCGGCUAACUAC